GCAGGUGUGUUGGAAUUGGCAGACAAGUACGAUUGAGGGUCGUAUGAGCGUUCGCUCGUGUGGGUUCGAGUCCCAUCACCUGCA
This is a non-coding RNA of Enterococcus thailandicus, 84 nucleotides long. NCBI's taxonomy places the organism in Bacteria, Bacillati, Bacillota, Bacilli, Lactobacillales, Enterococcaceae. The record is from Rfam.